Paramacrobiotus metropolitanus is the source of this 1175-nucleotide long non-coding RNA. RefSeq lists it as uncharacterized. The transcript has 3 exons. Lineage: Eukaryota; Metazoa; Tardigrada; Eutardigrada; Parachela; Macrobiotidae. The record is from RefSeq and is a predicted model, not a curated record.
UCAAAGCCUGUUAUGCUUUACUGUCACUGAGUGGCUGGCACUCCUCGUACUACAGAUUUCAUGCACAUUAUGAAUUACAUGCAUAUAUAUGUUGGUGUCAUAUGCCUAUCUGUACCACUCUAUUAAUGACUUUGUUUACUCCAUUAACAACUUGUUGAUGAUGAUUGCGCAAAUUACCGAAGCAGUUUUCUAUUAAAGAAGAGGAAAACAGUCAUGCGCUAGUCUGUCGCCAAACGUAUCCUACCUCAAUAAUUAUUGUUUGAGUGCUUUUGACAAGCUGAUCGUGUACACUGCAAAUCCUAGAGUAGAAAUGAAGUCUUUAACCCUGUUAUUAUCGACUCUUCUUAUUUCCCAGGUUACUUCGGCUCCUGAUACAUCUGUUCAAAUACCCUGUGUCCAUUGCGACCUGGCGUGUGUACAACCAAUCAGCGUAAUUUCUUCAGCCGCAACCAAUGCUGUAACGAAUACCCAGUGCGGUUGCCAAGGAUGUGGACCCAUUCAGCCACAGCCGUGCACGGGACCGAUUUUGGAUCCUCUUCCUGGCGGCGUACAAUCGGCCAGUUCGGCCAUCAUCCGACCGUGCCCUUUGAGUGCAACUGGAUAGCAACACAGUUCUCUUACUUCUUUAUAAUCCGGGAAACUGCACCUCUUCAGGCUAGUACUAAAAGACCGAAGCGAACCCCAGAAACGGUAUAUUGCCUUUGUAGAACGCGUACAUACAGUUUCCUUCAGACGCAACACGGAAAAUAUCAUACUGAUCGUGUGAAUUAUAAAGCCAAUGUAGUUCUUUAUAGAUAAGCUGAAAGUUUGACUUUGCAUACAGCUCUCUUUUUAUAACUUGUUUAAUAAAAUAUACCCUGUUUUAAUUCAUAGCAUUAGAUAUUUUAAGCUGCCUAAUUUCAUCUCAAGCCAUACAAAAAGGCACGUCUGUAAUAACUUACAGACGCCUAUUGUGAAUGCACUCGAUCAGUUCUGUUGUAGAGGAAGCCGAUACAGGCAUGUGAAUCAGGAAACCAUUAAUGUGCUGCAAAUGCAAAUUCGGGUGUUUUAAUUUCCUUGGCACGCAACAUUUCGAAUGCAUCGCUGUAGUAAAAUUACAAUUUCAUGGAAGUCUAGCAGAAAACCGGGCACGUUUAGCACGCAUUAUACAACACUCCUUAUGAUCGAUGACGUUC